Molecule: long non-coding RNA, 260 nt
Filed under: Lathyrus oleraceus (garden pea)
Lineage: Eukaryota; Viridiplantae; Streptophyta; Magnoliopsida; Fabales; Fabaceae
Description: Pisum sativum (pea) long non-coding RNA (PSAT_LNC019151)
Source: RNAcentral
AGAAUUAACACUAUUAGAAAUGUCUGAGUUUAACUUUUAAUCAUACUCUAAGAAAUUACAAGAGUUUUGGAGAUUUUUUCUACCAUAUAGAACUGUAAUAUUGAUGAGUUGUUGGCUUGUAGAGAAUGAAAUUGUAACCUAUAAUGAAAACUAUUGGUUAUAUAUGUUGUAUAUUUUUCUAGUGUUUUCAUGAUCUAAUUUUGUUGAGAAUAACAUGAGAUGUGUUUUAUUACAAAUAAAUGUGCUCCUAUAAAAGAAAA